RNAcentral lists this non-coding RNA (81 nucleotides) under uncultured Lawsonibacter sp. RNAcentral describes it as "Glycine riboswitch". It matches the Rfam family "Glycine riboswitch aptamer". From Rfam's summary of the family: This family represents the bacterial glycine riboswitch. Glycine riboswitches usually consist of two metabolite-binding aptamers domains with similar structures in tandem. The record is from RNAcentral. Lineage: Bacteria; Bacillati; Bacillota; Clostridia; Eubacteriales; Oscillospiraceae.
AACGAUUCAGGAGAGACCGCGUAUUUUACGCGGCACCGAAGGAGCAAUGCCACACUCUCUCAGGUAAAAGGACUGGGUCGG